RNAcentral lists this transfer RNA (71 nucleotides) under Strigamia maritima. It matches the Rfam family "tRNA". From Rfam's summary of the family: Transfer RNA (tRNA) molecules are approximately 80 nucleotides in length. Their secondary structure includes four short double-helical elements and three loops (D, anti-codon, and T loops). Lineage: Eukaryota; Metazoa; Arthropoda; Chilopoda; Geophilomorpha; Linotaeniidae. The record is from Rfam by way of RNAcentral.
GUCCAGGUAGCUUAAUGGUAAAGCACCCAACCGGCAAUUGGGGGAUCUGGGUUCAAGUCCCGGUCCGGGCU